Molecule: ribosomal RNA, 2932 nt
Filed under: Escherichia coli
Lineage: Bacteria; Pseudomonadati; Pseudomonadota; Gammaproteobacteria; Enterobacterales; Enterobacteriaceae
Description: 23S ribosomal RNA
Rfam family: Bacterial large subunit ribosomal RNA
Source: RNAcentral
GGGUUGUGAGGUUAAGCGACUAAGCGUACACGGUGGAUGCCCUGGCAGUCAGAGGCGAUGAAGGACGUGCUAAUCUGCGAUAAGCGUCGGUAAGGUGAUAUGAACCGUUAUAACCGGCGAUUUCCGAAUGGGGAAACCCAGUGUGAUUCGUCACACUAUCAUUAACUGAAUCCAUAGGUUAAUGAGGCGAACCGGGGGAACUGAAACAUCUAAGUACCCCGAGGAAAAGAAAUCAACCGAGAUUCCCCCAGUAGCGGCGAGCGAACGGGGAGCAGCCCAGAGCCUGAAUCAGUGUGUGUGUUAGUGGAAGCGUCUGGAAAGGCGCGCGAUACAGGGUGACAGCCCCGUACACAAAAAUGCACAUGCUGUGAGCUCGAUGAGUAGGGCGGGACACGUGGUAUCCUGUCUGAAUAUGGGGGGACCAUCCUCCAAGGCUAAAUACUCCUGACUGACCGAUAGUGAACCAGUACCGUGAGGGAAAGGCGAAAAGAACCCCGGCGAGGGGAGUGAAAAAGAACCUGAAACCGUGUACGUACAAGCAGUGGGAGCACAGAGCAAUCUGUGUGACUGCGUACCUUUUGUAUAAUGGGUCAGCGACUUAUAUUCUGUAGCAAGGUUAACCGAAUAGGGGAGCCGAAGGGAAACCGAGUCUUAACUGGGCGUUAAGUUGCAGGGUAUAGACCCGAAACCCGGUGAUCUAGCCAUGGGCAGGUUGAAGGUUGGGUAACACUAACUGGAGGACCGAACCGACUAAUGUUGAAAAAUUAGCGGAUGACUUGUGGCUGGGGGUGAAAGGCCAAUCAAACCGGGAGAUAGCUGGUUCUCCCCGAAAGCUAUUUAGGUAGCGCCUCGUGAAUUCAUCUCCGGGGGUAGAGCACUGUUUCGGCAAGGGGGUCAUCCCGACUUACCAACCCGAUGCAAACUGCGAAUACCGGAGAAUGUUAUCACGGGAGACACACGGCGGGUGCUAACGUCCGUCGUGAAGAGGGAAACAACCCAGACCGCCAGCUAAGGUCCCAAAGUCAUGGUUAAGUGGGAAACGAUGUGGGAAGGCCCAGACAGCCAGGAUGUUGGCUUAGAAGCAGCCAUCAUUUAAAGAAAGCGUAAUAGCUCACUGGUCGAGUCGGCCUGCGCGGAAGAUGUAACGGGGCUAAACCAUGCACCGAAGCUGCGGCAGCGACGCUUAUGCGUUGUUGGGUAGGGGAGCGUUCUGUAAGCCUGCGAAGGUGUGCUGUGAGGCAUGCUGGAGGUAUCAGAAGUGCGAAUGCUGACAUAAGUAACGAUAAAGCGGGUGAAAAGCCCGCUCGCCGGAAGACCAAGGGUUCCUGUCCAACGUUAAUCGGGGCAGGGUGAGUCGACCCCUAAGGCGAGGCCGAAAGGCGUAGUCGAUGGGAAACAGGUUAAUAUUCCUGUACUUGGUGUUACUGCGAAGGGGGGACGGAGAAGGCUAUGUUGGCCGGGCGACGGUUGUCCCGGUUUAAGCGUGUAGGCUGGUUUUCCAGGCAAAUCCGGAAAAUCAAGGCUGAGGCGUGAUGACGAGGCACUACGGUGCUGAAGCAACAAAUGCCCUGCUUCCAGGAAAAGCCUCUAAGCAUCAGGUAACAUCAAAUCGUACCCCAAACCGACACAGGUGGUCAGGUAGAGAAUACCAAGGCGCUUGAGAGAACUCGGGUGAAGGAACUAGGCAAAAUGGUGCCGUAACUUCGGGAGAAGGCACGCUGAUAUGUAGGUGAAGUCCCUCGCGGAUGGAGCUGAAAUCAGUCGAAGAUACCAGCUGGCUGCAACUGUUUAUUAAAAACACAGCACUGUGCAAACACGAAAGUGGACGUAUACGGUGUGACGCCUGCCCGGUGCCGGAAGGUUAAUUGAUGGGGUCAGCGCAAGCGAAGCUCUUGAUCGAAGCCCCGGUAAACGGCGGCCGUAACUAUAACGGUCCUAAGGUAGCGAAAUUCCUUGUCGGGUAAGUUCCGACCUGCACGAAUGGCGUAAUGAUGGCCAGGCUGUCUCCACCCGAGACUCAGUGAAAUUGAACUCGCUGUGAAGAUGCAGUGUACCCGCGGCAAGACGGAAAGACCCCGUGAACCUUUACUAUAGCUUGACACUGAACAUUGAGCCUUGAUGUGUAGGAUAGGUGGGAGGCUUUGAAGUGUGGACGCCAGUCUGCAUGGAGCCGACCUUGAAAUACCACCCUUUAAUGUUUGAUGUUCUAACGUUGACCCGUAAUCCGGGUUGCGGACAGUGUCUGGUGGGUAGUUUGACUGGGGCGGUCUCCUCCUAAAGAGUAACGGAGGAGCACGAAGGUUGGCUAAUCCUGGUCGGACAUCAGGAGGUUAGUGCAAUGGCAUAAGCCAGCUUGACUGCGAGCGUGACGGCGCGAGCAGGUGCGAAAGCAGGUCAUAGUGAUCCGGUGGUUCUGAAUGGAAGGGCCAUCGCUCAACGGAUAAAAGGUACUCCGGGGAUAACAGGCUGAUACCGCCCAAGAGUUCAUAUCGACGGCGGUGUUUGGCACCUCGAUGUCGGCUCAUCACAUCCUGGGGCUGAAGUAGGUCCCAAGGGUAUGGCUGUUCGCCAUUUAAAGUGGUACGCGAGCUGGGUUUAGAACGUCGUGAGACAGUUCGGUCCCUAUCUGCCGUGGGCGCUGGAGAAUUGAGGGGGGCUGCUCCUAGUACGAGAGGACCGGAGUGGACGCAUCACUGGUGUUCGGGUUGUCAUGCCAAUGGCACUGCCCGGUAGCUAAAUGCGGAAGAGAUAAGUGCUGAAAGCAUCUAAGCACGAAACUUGCCCCGAGAUGAGUUCUCCCUGACUCCUUGAGAGUCCUGAAGGAACGUUGAAGACGACGACGUUGAUAGGCCGGGUGUGUAAGCGCAGCGAUGCGUUGAGCUAACCGGUACUAAUGAACCGUGAGGCUUAACCUUACAACGCCGAAGCUGUU